This 457-nucleotide ribosomal RNA is filed under the name uncultured bacterium. RNAcentral's name for it is "bacterial SSU rRNA". It matches the Rfam family "Bacterial small subunit ribosomal RNA", at positions 340 to 786 of the family's 1533-position model. The record is from RNAcentral.
UACGGAAGGCAGCAGUGGGGAAUAUUGCACAAUGGGCGCAAGCCUGGUGCAGCCAUGCCGCGUGUAUGAAGAAGGCCUUCGGGUUGUAAAGUACUUUCAGUCGUGAGGAAGGUGUUAAGGUUAAUAACCUUAGCAAUUGACGUUAGCGACAGAAGAAGCACCGGCUAACUCCGUGCCAGCAGCCGCGGUAAUACGGAGGGUGCGAGCGUUAAUCGGAAUUACUGGGCGUAAAGGGCACGCAGGCGGUUAAUUAAGUUGGAUGUGAAAUCCCCGGGCUUAACCUGGGAAUGGCAUUCAAGACUGGUUAGCUAGAGUCUUGUAGAGGGGGGUAGAAUUCCAUGUGUAGCGGUGAAAUGCGUAGAGAUGUGGAGGAAUACCGGUGGGCGAAGGCGGCCCCUGGGACAAAGGACUGACGCUCAUGUGCGAAAGCGUGGGGAGCAAACAGGGAUUAGAUACC